AUAUGGUCAAGCGAAUAAGCGCACACGGUGGAUGCCUUGGCGGUCAGAGGCGAUGAAGGACGUGGCAGCCUGCGAAAAGUAUCGGGGAGCUGGCAACAAGCUUUGAUCCGGUAAUGUCCGAAUGGGGAAACCCACCCGCUUGCGGGUAUCCUGCAGUGAAUACAUAGCUGCUGGAAGCGAACCUGGUGAACUGAAAUAUCUAAGUAACCAGAGGAAAAGAAAUCAACCGAGAUUCCCUGAGUAGCGACGAGCGAACGGGGACUAGCCCUUAAGCUGGAAUGGUUCUAGAAAAACAGCCUGGAACGGCUGGCCAUAGAAGGUGAUAGCCCUGUAUUUAAAAGGGCCACUCCAGUGAAGACGAGUAGGGCGGGGCACGUGAAACCCUGUCUGAACAUGGGGGGACCAUCCUCCAAGGCUAAAUACUACUGACCGACCGAUAGUGAACCAGUACCGUGAGGGAAAGGCGAAAAGAACCCCGGAGAGGGGAGUGAAAUAGAUCCUGAAACCGUGUGCGUACAAGCAGUAGGAGCUCGAAAGAGUGACUGCGUACCUUUUGUAUAAUGGGUCAGCGACUUACUGUUCGUGGCAAGCUUAACCGUAUAGGGGAGGCGAAGGGAAACCGAGUCUGAUAAGGGCGCAUAGUCGCGGGCAGUAGACCCGAAACCGGGUGAUCUAGUCAUGGCCAGGGUGAAGGUGCCGUAACAGGUACUGGAGGCCCGAACCCACGUCUGUUGCAAAAGACGGGGAUGAGCUGUGAUUAGGAGUGAAAAGCUAAUCGAACCCGGAGAUAGCUGGUUCUCCUCGAAAGCUAUUUAGGUAGCGCCUCAUAUGUAUCCUCUCGGGGGUAGAGCACUGUUAUGGCUAGGGGGUCAUCGCGACUUACCAAACCAUUGCAAACUCCGAAUACCGAGACGGACUGUAUGGGAGACACACGGCGGGUGCUAACGUCCGUCGUGAAAAGGGAAACAACCCAGACCCACAGCUAAGGUCCCAAAUUCACUGCUAAGUGGAAAACCAUGUGGAAAGGCACAGACAGCCAGGAGGUUGGCUUAGAAGCAGCCACCCUUUAAAGAAAGCGUAAUAGCUCACUGGUCGAGUCGGUCUGCGGGGAAGAUUUAACGGGGCUAAGCAGUGAACCGAAGCUUGGGGUGUGCAUAUUUAUAUGUACGCGGUAGAGGAGCGUUCCGUAAGCCGUUGAAGGUGGAUUGAGAAGUCUGCUGGAGGUAUCGGAAGUGCGAAUGCUGACAUGAGUAACGAUAAUGCGGGUGAAAAACCCGCACGCCGAAAGCCCAAGGUUUCCUUGCGCAACGUUAAUCGGCGCAGGGUGAGUCGGCCCCUAAGGCGAGGACGAAAGUCGUAGUCGAUGGGAAGCAGGUUAAUAUUCCUGCACCUCGCGUAAGUGCGAUGGAGGGACGGAGAAGGUUAGGUGUACCCGGCGUUGGUUGUCCGGGGGAAAGGCGGUAGGUUUGGAUCUUUGGCAAAUCCGGGAUCCUUUAAGACCGAGCACCGAGACGAGCCUUUAAGGCGAAGUCACUGAUACCACGCUUCCAGGAAAAGCUCCUAAGCUUCAGCUUACGCAGACCGUACCGUAAACCGACACAGGUGGGUAGGAUGAGAAUUCUCAGGCGCUUGAGAGAACUCGGGUGAAGGAACUAGGCAACAUGGCACCGUAACUUCGGGAGAAGGUGCGCCCUUUUUGGUGGCUCAUGCGAGCUAUAGCUGAAGAGGGCCGCAGUAACCAGGCCGCUGCGACUGUUUAUCAAAAACACAGCACUCUGCAAACACGAAAGUGGACGUAUAGGGUGUGACGCCUGCCCGGUGCUGGAAGGUUAAUUGAUGGGGUCAGCCGCAAGGCGAAGCUCUUGAUCGAAGCCCCAGUAAACGGCGGCCGUAACUAUAACGGUCCUAAGGUAGCGAAAUUCCUUGUCGGGUAAGUUCCGACCUGCACGAAUGGCGUAACGACAGCGGCGCUGUCUCCACCCGAGACUCAGUGAAAUUGAAAUCGCUGUGAAGAUGCAGCGUUCCCGUGGCAAGACGGAAAGACCCCGUGAACCUUUACUAUAGCUUUACACUGAACGUUGAGUUCGUCUGUGUAGGAUAGGUGGGAGGCUAUGAAACUGUGGCGCUAGCUGCAGUGGAGCCAUCCUUGAAAUACCACCCUGUCGUGCUUGACGUUCUAACCUAGGUCCAUAAUCUGGAUCGGGGACCGUGUAUGGUGGGUAGUUUGACUGGGGCGGUCUCCUCCUAAAGAGUAACGGAGGAGCUCGAAGGUACGCUCAGCGCGGUCGGACAUCGCGCACUGUGUGCAAAGGCAUAAGCGUGCUUGACUGCAAGAUCGACGGAUCAAGCAGGUAGGAAACUAGGACUUAGUGAUCCGGUGGUUCUGUAUGGAAGGGCCAUCGCUCAACGGAUAAAAGGUACUCCGGGGAUAACAGGCUGAUACCGCCCAAGAGUUCAUAUCGACGGCGGUGUUUGGCACCUCGAUGUCGGCUCAUCACAUCCUGGGGCUGUAGUCGGUCCCAAGGGUAUGGCUGUUCGCCAUUUAAAGUGGUACGCGAGCUGGGUUCAGAACGUCGUGAGACAGUUCGGUCCCUAUCUGCCAUGGGCGUUGGAGAUUUGAGAGGGGCUGCUCCUAGUACGAGAGGACCGGAGUGGACGAACCUCUGGUGUUCCGGUUGUCACGCCAGUGGCAUUGCCGGGUAGCUAUGUUCGGAAGCGAUAACCGCUGAAAGCAUCUAAGCGGGAAGCGCGCCUCAAGAUGAGAUCUCCCGGGGCACAAGCCCCCUGAAGGAACCAUAUAGACUAUGUGGUUGAUAGGUCAGGUGUGUAAGUACAGCAAUGUAUUGAGCUAACUGAUACUAAUGAUCCGUGUGGCUUGACCAU
This 2883-nucleotide ribosomal RNA is filed under the name Stenotrophomonas rhizophila. RNAcentral describes it as "bacterial LSU rRNA". It matches the Rfam family "Bacterial large subunit ribosomal RNA". The record is from RNAcentral. Lineage: Bacteria; Pseudomonadati; Pseudomonadota; Gammaproteobacteria; Lysobacterales; Lysobacteraceae.